RNAcentral lists this long non-coding RNA (1122 nucleotides) under Cricetulus griseus (Chinese hamster). RNAcentral describes it as "lncRNA (ENSCGRG00000026156.1)". Lineage: Eukaryota; Metazoa; Chordata; Mammalia; Rodentia; Cricetidae. The record is from RNAcentral.
ACCCAGGUGUGAACUCAGGCUGGCAAGUGGGUGGGCCAUUGCCCGGCUGGCUUGGCUUUUGGAGCUGGUGGGAGGGGAGAGGGGCAGGGGUAGGGAUUACCUGUUCCCUCCAACUGUAGAUGGGCUCCCUGAGAGUUUAUAGUCUUGCUGACUGCCUCCAGAGGGCAGUUCUCUGCAAGAGUUCUACUGAGGGGCUCAGGCACACCAGGUAGACAAGAGGGAGCACAGACUGGGAGGUAGUUCUGGUUUGUGAGCAAGGGAGUAAAUGAUACAGGGUCCCUCGUGCAGAGAGCCAUUGGGAAUAGUGGGGAGUGGAGGUGGGAAAUGGGAAGCCUUCCCUUUGGUGUUGAGGUUAGUCCCUGGGGGCCUCAGAGCCCCAAGGAUGGGGCAAAUACUAGAUGACCUCUCAAGUUUAAGGAGAGGUGUUAGGCUGGCUGGCAGGGAGGAAGGAGAAUGGGGUAGAGUGGAGGGGCCUUUCCAGGAUUUCGUGUCUGCUCUGUCCAGCCACCAGCUGGAUGAGGAACUGGAUCCAGACCCUGGUCCUACCACAUGUGGCUUUUUUUCUCCAUCAGUGGACAGGGGUGUUCCCAUGAGACUCUUGGCCCAUACCUCUGAACUUGGAGAAGGGGAUUGGGAUACUAGCAUCAGGGCAGCAGGGCUCUACUGGAGCUGGAGGCUGGGAGUCAAGGCAGUCGGAACCCUAGAGCUGUGGAGUAUCCAGCUGCAGACUGGGUCACUGUUGGGUCAAGAACACUUUCCCUGGGAGGCAGGCCACUUGUGUCCUGGCUGGGAGGAACAGGCUAUUAUGCACACCUGGAAUCCCUGCAGGCUGUUCACAGUGCCCUCAGCUGCUAGCCCCUGGCUCCAAGGCUGGUUCCUUCCAUUACAAAAGCAGGCAUGCAGGAUGUGGGGGUCCCUCUCCCAAGCAGGGGUGGGAGACAUUUGCAGGAAGAUUCUCUCAUCCCCAGUGGAGGAACCAGGCCCCUGCUGGGCUUCUUCCAGCUCUCCUCAAGGCUUUCCUGACCCACCUGCAGCAAGCAGUAAAUCUACGAAGGUCCUGGGUCUCUGAGGCAGGCACCUUUCCACUGCAAGGGCUAUGGGUUGUCCCUAGAUGCAGGGCAG